RNAcentral lists this ribosomal RNA (133 nucleotides) under uncultured bacterium. RNAcentral's name for it is "partial 16S ribosomal RNA". The record is from RNAcentral.
NAGGGUACCGUCAGUACUAUUGCGAUUAAACAAUAAUAGUUUCUUCCCUCUGACAGAGCUUUACGAUCCUAAAACCUUCAUCACUCACGCGGCAUUGCUGCGUCAGGCUUUCGCCCAUUGCGCAAAAUUCCCC